Molecule: non-coding RNA, 73 nt
Organism: Stegodyphus mimosarum
Lineage: Eukaryota; Metazoa; Arthropoda; Arachnida; Araneae; Eresidae
Source: Rfam
GCCUUCGUGGUGUAGUGGUCAGCACGCUCGACGCGUAACCGAGAGGUCCGUGGUUCGAUUCCCGGCGAAGACG